AGCGGCGGACGGGUGAGUAACGCGUGGGUAACCUGCCCUGUACACACGGAUAACAUACCGAAAGGUAUGCUAAUACGAGAUAAUAUACUUUUAUCGCAUGGUAGAAGUAUCAAAGCUUUUGCGGUACAGGAUGGACCCGCGUCUGAUUAGCUAGUUGGUAAGGUAACGGCUUACCAAGGCGACGAUCAGUAGCCGACCUGAGAGGGUGAUCGGCCACAUUGGAACUGAGACACGGUCCAAACUCCUACGGGAGGCAGCAGUGGGGAAUAUUGCACAAUGGGCGAAAGCCUGAUGCAGCAACACCGCGUGAGCGAUGAAGGCCUUCGGGUCGUAAAGCUCUGUCCUCAAGGAAGAUAAUGACGGUACUUGAGGAGGAAGCCCCGGCUAACUACGUGCCAGCAGCCGCGGUAAUACGUAGGGGGCUAGCGUUAUCCGGAAUUACUGGGCGUAAAGGGUGCGUAGGUGGUUUCUUAAGUCAGAGGUGAAAGGCUACGGCUCAACCGUAGUAAGCCUUUGAAACUGGGAAACUUGAGUGCAGGAGAGGAGAGUGGAAUUCCUAGUGUAGCGGUGAAAUGCGUAGAUAUUAGGAGGAACACCAGUUGCGAAGGCGGCUCUCUGGACUGUAACUGACACUGAGGCACGAAAGCGUGGGGAGCAAACAGGAUUAGAUACCCUGGUAGUCCACGCCGUAAACGAUGAGUACUAGCUGU
This 710-nucleotide ribosomal RNA is filed under the name uncultured bacterium. Its description in RNAcentral is "bacterial SSU rRNA". It matches the Rfam family "Bacterial small subunit ribosomal RNA", at positions 94 to 823 of the family's 1533-position model. The record is from RNAcentral.